This is a long non-coding RNA of Oncorhynchus keta (chum salmon), 531 nucleotides long. RefSeq lists it as uncharacterized. The transcript has 3 exons. The record is from RefSeq and is a predicted model, not a curated record. NCBI's taxonomy places the organism in Eukaryota, Metazoa, Chordata, Actinopteri, Salmoniformes, Salmonidae.
CUCAGAUAGAAGGUCGUAACUGACUGACUAACUGGGUAUUGUUUCAGUCCUCAGAUAGAAGGUCGUAGCUGAUUGACUAACUGGGUAUUGUUUCAGUCCUCAGAUUAAAGGUCGUAGCUGAUUGACUAACUGGGUUUUGUUUCAGUCCUCAGAUUAAAGGUCGUAGCUGAUUGACUAACUGGGUAUUGUUUCAGUCCUCAGAUAGAAGGUCGUAGCUGACUGACUAACUGGGUAUUGUUUCAGUCCUCAGAUAGAAGGUCGUAGCUGAUUGACUAACUGGGUAUUGUUUCAGUCCUCAGAUAGAAGGUCGUAGCUGACUGACUAACUGGGUAUUGUUUCAGUCCUCAGAUAGAAGGUCGUAGCUGACUGACUAACUGGGUAUUGUUUCAGUCCUCAGAUAGAAGGUCGUAGCUGACUGACUAACUGGGUAUUGUUUCAGUCCUCAGAUAGAAGGUCGUAGCUGAUUGACUAACUGGGUAUUGUUUCAGUCCUCAGAUAGAAGGUCGUAGCUGAUUGACUAACUGGGUAUUG